This 402-nucleotide ribosomal RNA is filed under the name uncultured Oribacterium sp. Its description in RNAcentral is "bacterial SSU rRNA". It matches the Rfam family "Bacterial small subunit ribosomal RNA", at positions 355 to 774 of the family's 1533-position model. The record is from RNAcentral. Lineage: Bacteria; Bacillati; Bacillota; Clostridia; Lachnospirales; Lachnospiraceae.
UGGGGGAUAUUGCACAAUGGGGGGAACCCUGAUGCAGCGACGCCGCGUGAGUGAAGAAGUAUUUCGGUAUGUAAAGCUCUAUCAGCAGGGAAGAUAAUGACAGUACCUGAAUAAGAAGCCCCGGCUAACUACGUGCCAGCAGCCGCGGUAAUACGUAGGGGGCAAGCGUUAUCCGGAUUUACUGGGUGUAAAGGGAGCGUAGACGGAAUGGCAAGUCUGAAGUGAAAUGCCCGGGCUCAACCCGGGAACUGCUUUGGAAACUGUCGAUCUGGAGUGUUGGAGAGGUAAGUGGAAUUCCUGGUGUAGCGGUGAAAUGCGUAGAGAUCAGGAAGAACACCGGAGGCGAAGGCGGCUUACUGGACAAAGACUGACGUUGAGGCUCGAAAGCGUGGGAAGCAAACA